AUGAGACCUCCUUCAUAGUGGGAGUGAUGCCUCUCUGUCAGAUGGGAAUAAGGCCUUCCUAGAAUGUUAAAGAGGAAAGCUGCUUUCAUGGAAACGGCCACCUCCUUUCAGUAUCUCCUCUAAAGUUCCCUGUCUACAGCUUCAGGUAUCAGCACGAUCCAUGAGGUUGUCCUAGUUGGAAGUCUGAUCAUGGUACCCCCCUGCCGGCAACUCCGUCAAUACAGCACUUCAAGCAACCACUCUGUCUAACUCGAUUGUUUUCACUCUGGUCCUGUCUUAGAGGACUGGUAUGAUUUUGCAGAAAAACAUAGAAAUAUGAGGUAAUGAUUGCUUUUUUUUUUUUUUACAAGAACCAAAUAAAUAAAUCUUCAAGGAAAGAAAAUUACUUCUAAGUUUGAUGGACAUAACCAAAAGAAAUACUUUAUU
Molecule: long non-coding RNA, 426 nt
Organism: Chinchilla lanigera (long-tailed chinchilla)
Lineage: Eukaryota; Metazoa; Chordata; Mammalia; Rodentia; Chinchillidae
Exons: 3
Source: RefSeq, a predicted model, not a curated record